This is a long non-coding RNA of Centropristis striata (black sea bass), 4366 nucleotides long. RefSeq lists it as uncharacterized. The transcript is spliced from 2 exons. The record is from RefSeq and is a predicted model, not a curated record. NCBI's taxonomy places the organism in Eukaryota, Metazoa, Chordata, Actinopteri, Perciformes, Serranidae.
AUUUUUUCCUAUUGGUUUGUUCCAAGUCACGUGACUUUCAAGGUCUCGGCGGUCAGAACAAAAAACAUGGCGGACAGUAUCAAUAUUUUGACUUAGUUUCUGCAUAAAAAUGGAUUUUGAUCACAUUUCUAGCGAGAAAUAUAUGUUUUAUUUUCUAAAUAUUCACUCAGUGAAUGUACAUAAUCACUUUGUGUGUUGGAAUAGCCACGGGAUAUGACUGUCAUUAACUUGCAUUGUAGCGAAAUCCGUGUCAGUUUCACGGAAAUUUGAGUGAUUCCGUGGCUAUUCCACGGAUUUUGAGUUAACCCUUUAUCGGGCGAAGAACCGAAUUUAGUAACUUCAGCGGAUAUCCAAAAUAAAAAAUAAAAAUAUUUUGAGAAAAAAGUUGCAAAUUUACCCUAUUAAAGUGGCAGAUCUACAAGAAAAAAGGUCGCAGAUGUAAGGGAUUUAAAGUGGCAAAUCUGCGUGGAAAAAAGUUGCAGAUUUACGAGAAAAAAGCAACUUUUUUCACAUUUAUGCAUUCUGGCUGUAUGUAAUAUCCUCCAAUAUUCUCUAGGGUUGAAAUUUGGAAUUUGCAAGUAUUUCAAUGAGUGCCCUAUUAAGGGUUAAGCGAAUCCGUGUCUAUUCCACGGAUUCCUGUGAGACCAGGUUGGUUUGUGAUUGUGUGGCAACGAAUGUAAAGCGAAGCUGCUGUUAUUUGUUAUUUUUUCUCAAAAUGGGCGCCUGCUAAUGUGUGUGACGGCUGGGCGGGGCGUUGUGACAGCAGCUCUGCUCUCUGCACCGCUCAGCCUCCAGGAUCGCUCAGUCACUUAAUGAAAAAGAGAGUGGACUUGUUGCAAGUCACUGAUGCAGAAAACAGAUUAACUCGGCAGGGCUGUACUCGCCCAAUAUCAUGUACAACAAAAGCAGCACCUCAAGUGGUCGGCAGGAGGGGAGAAAGCACAGGAGGGAUGGAGAAGGACUCAGUUAUCUGGGCUGAAAACCAGAGCACUAAGUAUUUAUUUGUAUAAUUCAAUUGGCUUUAUUGGCAUGACAUAACAAUGUAUAUAUUGCCAAAGCAAGCAUCAGAAAUAAAGAUAACAAGAUAAGGAAAGCAAUAUUUACAAUAAAUUAUUAUAAUUCUGUCAUUCAUUUUAAAAGAAAAGAAAAACUAAUAACAAUAAAAGAAAGCAAUAUUUACAAUCAUUGAAUUACAAUCAACAUAUAAUUUAUACAAUCUAACUGUAUAUAUCACUUCAACUUGCUAUUAUCUUUGUUGCACGAUAGAUCAUACAGCAAACUAUUCUACAUAUGCAAAGCAAACUUAACAUGCAUACACACAAAGUUAUAAUCAAAACUUGGAAUUCAUUUUGACACAAUUGUUUCAUGAAAAAAGGGUAGAUAAAAGGUGCGUAGAACAGUUGAUGCACAAAAAAAAAGACACAAAAUUACUAAAAAAGACACAAAAUUACUAAAAAAAGACACAGUGAUUCAAAGAAGACACAAAAUAAACCAAAAAGACUCUCUUUUCCAUUUAUUUUAAACAUAACAUACAUUGAAACCCCAAAAACAACAUAGAGCAUGUAUGUUAUGCAGUAAACCAGCAAUUUAUUAGGUUAAUGCAAAAACAUAAAGACACAAAUUGAGCAAAAUAGACGUAAAAUGACCCAAAAAAAGACACAAAUUGACCAAAAAAUACAUGUAAAAUGGCCAAAAGAGAAACAAAUAGACCAAAAAAGACGUAAAAUGACAAAAAGGUACAUCUGUUUGGACAAAUAUAAUGAUAACAACAAAAAUAGCUGAUAAGAGUUUAAUUUAAGAGCUGAUAUCUAGACAUUUAACAUGGUUUUAUUGAUAAUGAUAUUGGAUAUUAUCAAGACUGUUUCCAUGACUGUAGAUGUAAAAAUGAUCAAAAAUGAUUAGACCACCCUUGUUUUCUUCAGUUUAUUGUUUAUUUUAAUGCCUGAUACAACUAAAGGUACAUUUACACAGUUAUAAUUAAAACUCGGAAUACAUUUUGACACAAUUGUUUCAUGAAAAAGAUUAAGAAUUACUUCCAUAAUGAUUGAUUGAUUGAUUGAUUGAGAAUUUAUUUGAACACAACAUAAAAGAUGAACAAUUAAAAACAAAUGGACAACAAUAAAUACAAGACAACACAAAAUGAAACAACAAUUAAUAACUAAUUUAAUUUACUAUAUUCAGUUAUAUAACAACAAUAAUAUUUAUAUCUAUGUAUUGUAUGUAUAACACAUAGUAAUGUAGUUUAUAAACUUGUUAUUACCAUUAUUAACAUGCAUACACACAAAGUUAUAAUUAAAACUUGAAAUUCAUUUUGACACAAUUGUUUCAUGAAAAAAAGACGUAAAAUGACAAAAAGGUACAUCUGUUUGGACAAAUAUAAUGAUAACAACAAAAAUAGCUGAUAAGAGUUUAAUUUAAGAGCUGAUAUCUAGACAUUUAACAUGGUUUUAUUGAUAAUGAUUUUGGAUAUUAUCAAGACUGUUUUCAUGACUAUAGAUGUAAAAAUGAUCAAAAAAGACACAAAUGACCAAAAAUAGAUGUAAAAAUGAUCAAAAAUGAUUAGACCACCCUUGUUUUCUUCAGUUUAUUGUUUAUUUUAAUGGCUGAUACAACUAAAGGUACAUUUACACAAAGUUAUAAUUAAAACUUGGAAUUCAUUUUGACACAAUUGUUUCAUGAAAAAGAUUAAGAAUUACUUCCAUAAUGAUUGAUUGAUUGAUUGAGAAUUUAUUUGAACACGACAUAAAAGAUGAACAAUUAAAAAGAAACGAACAACAAUAAAUACAAGACAACAACACAAAAUGAAACAACAACAAGACUCAACACUUAUUUGUGUUCAAAAGGAGUCAAAACUUAUUAAAUCCCUUCUCCCUAUGUUAAUUUACUAUAUUCAUAUAUUUAACAACAAUAAUAUUUAUAUAUGUAUGUAUAACACAUAGUAAUGUAGUCACAAUGAGACAACAAUGAACAAACAAACAAACAAACAACAACAAACACAAAAAAAGAAAAAUAGUACUAAUACAUUUAAAUAAAUAAAACAUCAACAAUAACCACCUACUGUCAUUUCACACACCCGUUUUCAUCCCUAUAUCAUGUGAAGACAUGCUCUUUAAAUUAGAUUUUGAAGUGUUUAGGCAAUAAGCACAUGUAUUAGUCGAUUUACUCAAUCAACAGCAAACUGAGUCCAGGUAACCACAGUAACGGUUGCCAGGUUACAAUUGGCAACAAUUUUAUUUUAUUGGCAACCAAUUCUUGGCUUCACUAUUUACAUGCAGUAUGAAAAAAAUAGGGACAGCAAACAGCAAAAGGUGCACCAAAUAAUAAAUACAUUUUAGAGAUAUUUAAAUACUGUAUUUAAGUAUUAUUUUAUUAUUAUAUUCAUACUUUAUAUUAUACAUAUUUUUUUAUACUAGGAAUUAAAGGUGGACUCAUUAAGGUAUCAGAUAAAUAAUUUUGGUGCUUUACAGUAAUAAAGCUUUUUUUUUUUGUCACAUUUUCAUGAUUUAGCUGACAUAUAACUACAUAGUAUAUUUAUUACUCAAAAUAUAAGGCAUAUUUUCAGUUUCAGCAACCAAAACAAGGUAGUGCUGAACCCUGGUCACACAAAAAAAUAAAAAAUGAUCAAUUUUUUCAAGAAAAAAGUGAAAAUUUAGUUCCAGCCAGUCAGAUUUGCAGAUUUGUUUAAUAAAAUAAUUGAUCUUCCAUGACUACAUGUGUGAUUCCUAUUUAACAAUUGCUUUAUAUUGAUGCUAGGUCUGUUAUAGUGAGAGUAUUCCACAUAUUGACUCCCUGAGCACACCUGACAUUUGUCCUAAGGAGGUUUUUACAGAAGGACACAUUAUAUUUUCUCACAGAAAAACCUUGAGUUAGUGAGCCAGGAACCUCAAGAGGUUUCAUUAUAUCAUGGCAGCACCUUAGAUACCUGGCUACGUAGGUAUUUAUUACAACUGCUUUAAUUGAUUUUUUUGUGUCUGGCUGUAAACAGCACUGACAGAUACGUGAGCACACAGUUCUUUGUCUUUAACAUCCAAUAGAGUUGUGUUUUUAGGCUUUACAAAUUAUUCUGUAGUCAUUUCAUUUACUUAAUAUAUUUGAUAAAAUGUAUUGAAUAAAAACACGUCCUUGAUUUUGAGGCAGUUGUUUAAGUAACUUUAAUAUAAAAAAUGUUUGAGAUAGAAUCUACUUAUUUUGAUCACAUUAAAUAUAAUCUUUAUGUGUAUGUAAUUCUAAAUGAAGAGAAUUUUGAAUGAAUCAUUCAUUUCCCAUUUUAUUUCAUGCUGGCUGUGUAACUAUGUUUGUCUUAUUUUGAAGGUUUAACUUUAAAAGAGUUGUUAGAACCACCAGGUAACAUUGGAAAAUCAAAUAU